UUUGUAGGACGCCAGUUAAAAAACAACCCGAGUUGUAACUUUCCGGCCACCUACCUGCCAAUAUCCCUUUCCCCACCUUGCCUAAUCUAAUCGCAGCCCUUCUGGUUUUUUCUUAGUGAAACAUGAUUCCUUAGGUCUCUGGCUGUUCACAGACUUUACUCAUUUGUUCCAAGCCGCUUGGAUCCCAGGGAGGUGAUGAAAGGGCCUGUGCAGCUAGAAUAAGAAGUAUAAUUCCGAUGAAACCCAGAAAUUCAUUAGGAGAAACGUUGUAUGUCUAAUCAAAAUAUUGAUGGAAACCGAACGGCCUCCAGUUACUAAAUUUGAGAAGUUAAAGCUUUUCCUCCUGUACAACUUUUGAACAUCUAAAAGAAGAUGUGUAGUGUAGUGGCCAAGACCUUGAAGAAAGAAAGUGCCAGAUUCAAAUCUUACCACCAACAACAAUUUUUUUUUUAAUCUCUGACUUUGGACUGACUUUAACUUUCUGAGUCUCAAUGUCCUCAUUCACAAAAUCAGCAUCAUAACUUUGACAUGGGUUGUUACAACAUAAUUUGUAUGUAAACAGCUUAACAUAAUGGCUGACACAGUAAAUGUUCAAUAAAAUGAAAACCCUUAUCAAUGUCUUCAUCAUUAUUCCUAUCUGCCAAGAUUUGUAACAAAACAUAGAAGAGAAAGAUUUAUAAUAAUGGCAAUCAUGAACUGUACAGACUAUAAGCUCCCUGAGGGCAGGCAUUUUUGUUCCUUUGGUUCAUUGCCGUAUCCCAGUGCCUGGAAUAACAUCUGCCACAGAAUAUCCUCAGUAAAUAUUUGUUGAAUGAAUAUCACACUUUUUAAAUGGAUAAAAACAUGCUUUUAAGCAUCAGAAUGAGUCAGCCAUGCCAAGGGUGGAUUAGAUGGGAGGAAACUGGAGGCGGAGAGACGGAUUUGGAAGCCACUGCAAUAAAGUUAGAGAAAUGUGUAUAUGAAUAAAGCCAUGAUAUUGAGGAUAAUGAUGAGGGGGUAGAUUUAAGAAUUAUUUAAGGAGCAGAAAAAUGGAACUUAAUGACAGAUGAGUUUCCUUUAAAAGUCAAAUUGCCCAAAUCCAUUAAAAAAGUAGAUGAACACAAGUACAAUGUAUACAGUGUUUUAGAAAUACUUCUAUUGAAGGAAUGAGAGAGAGGUUCUCUUGAUUGACAGGUGGUCCUUCUCCCAUGGCUAACCUAUAAUCUAUUGUAAAGUCACUUCCAUUGCCUGGUGAGAAAAGGCCAGAUGUUCUUGGGUGUGAAGAAUAUCUAUAACCAUAUUUCCCAUUUUCAACUCUCUUAUAAUUCCUGUUUUAGUAACUAUGUUUGAGGGGAAAGUUGUGACAGAGCUGAACAUUUAUUUCAACAAUUGCUUCCAAAGACAAGCACCCAAUUUUUUUGAGUUAAAGUGAUGGCAGGGCCAUAGUAGAAAAGGUAGGGGUUUAAGUCUGUAAUAGUUGGAUUUACAUACUUGAUCUGCACUUACUAGUUGGCAGCUCAAACUCUCUGAGCUUCUGUUUUCUUAAAAUAGGGACAAUUAUCCCAGGAUGAUUGGGUUGCAGUAAAGAUGAAAUGAGUUGGUAUGUGUAACACACCUUACCCACAGGGACACACUUUAGUAGUAUAGCAGUGGCUCCAGAAUUUCCUCCUGGGAGGGACUCAAGGGUGGUGGUCUCAGGUUGAACUGCAUCGCCCCAAGAGACGUGUCAAAGGCUCAAACCCCAACACUUGUGAAUGUGACCUUAUUUGCAAAUAGGGUCUUGGCAAGUUAAGAUUAGGUCAAAAUAGAUUAGGCUGGGCCUAUUCCAAUGACUGGUAUCCCUACAAGAAGAGGAAAUUUGGACCCAGGGAUACAGGAAGGAUGCCAUGUGAGGAGAGAGGCAGAAACUGGAGCGAUAUGUCUGCACGUGAAGGGAUGCCAAAGAUUGCCAGCAGCAACCAGAAGCUAGGAGAGAGGCAUGGCACAGAUUCUCCCUCAGAGCCUCCAGUAGGAGCCAACACUGCUAAUACCUUGAUUUUGGACUUCUAGCCUCCAGGCUGGGAGAGAAUCAAUUUCUGUUGUUUUACUCCACUGAAGUCUGUGGUACUUUGUUACAGCAGCCCUAGGGAAGUAAUACUGCGGGAUUAUGGGAUUUGUUCUUUAGCCAACUGCAUUUCAUUUGGACCAAAUUUAGCAAUGAGCACCAAUGGAAAUAACCACUGCUUUGGAGCCAUCACUCUACCAAAGCCCUGGACCUUACGCUACAACUUGUUUUUAAUCCAAUUUUAAGUGGGGGGAAAAAAAACACAAAAAAGUGCAGAGUAAAUAUCUGAAUGAAUUUUCAGCACAGAUGUCAAAUGUCCAUCUGAAAAAUGCAUUUGAGAACAUAUGAACCUUUCCAACUUUGAAGACCCAGGCAUCCUACAAUGAGCUUACCCAUAGAGGUGUCAUGUGCUUGCCACUGACACAGCUGAUGAUAUCUGUUACCCCAAGUCCAGAGCUGGUGUGAUCCAGUUUUCUCAGGUUAACACAAUUUAAUGUUAAGGAGUCAUUGGUGCCUAUUUCCCAACCAUAAAUGGAAAGAGAGGCUUAAAUCUAUUUUAAGCUAAAUGAUUGCAAAGACACUGCUUUUUAAAUUCAUGUGAUUUAAGGAAUUAAACUUAUAUGAAU
Long non-coding RNA from Orcinus orca (killer whale), 2649 nucleotides. RefSeq lists it as uncharacterized. Lineage: Eukaryota; Metazoa; Chordata; Mammalia; Artiodactyla; Delphinidae. The transcript has 3 exons. The record is from RefSeq and is a predicted model, not a curated record.